This 5960-nucleotide long non-coding RNA is filed under the name Coffea arabica (coffee). RNAcentral's name for it is "long non-coding RNA (CARA_LNC006974)". The record is from RNAcentral. Lineage: Eukaryota; Viridiplantae; Streptophyta; Magnoliopsida; Gentianales; Rubiaceae.
UGAGAAGGAAAACAGAAAACAAUUUGCCAACGCCAGAGCGCGCAUUGAUGGCACGACUUGCUUAUAUACAGACAGACUACAGUUGCCAGAAUCAGGAAAGGAAGUUUCUUGUGCAAAUUGGCAUAUCAUUCGAAUAAAACUGAAGAAAAGAGCAGUUAAUAGCUUUAUUUGGUAAUGAGUACAGCUCCAACGUACGAAUCCAACGUGAUGACUUUUUAAGAGGACAAACAUCAGAAUGAUACAAAAAUGGGUGAAACUAGAGAAACAAAUGUGGAAUAAGCCCAGACCAUCAUGCCUGUGAAAGAAAAAGAUAUAUAGAGAAAUAUAAUUAUACAAUCAGGUUCUUCUCUGUUACUCUCUUUACAGAGUAAAAGAUUUCAAUUGAGGAUGCGAUGCAAUAAGGCAUCAUAGUAGAGAGAUAACUGGGUCAAUAAUCCUGGUCAUGUGUUGGGCUUACUGGAACAGAAACAUGCCCACAUGGGAUAAAUAAAUACUUUACUUUCUCUUUUAUUAGCUUAAGAUAUUUGAUGGGGAUAGUCAAUAAUAAAUCAUAUAGGAUGUGCAGCAGUACUUACCUCUCCCACAUUAGUCUGCUCAUUCCUCUAUCAACACUCAUAUCUGAGAUUAUGGGCUCUUCUUCAAUUUCUGCAUCAGUGAAAGUGAGGGCACGUUGCAAUUUCUUUGGAGAAAAUACCUCCACUUCAACCAUGUAAGAGGCAGUUACAGGCCGGUGAUCUGAAAACUUAAUCUCAUUCCUUCUAUAGCUUAUUAACCUCAUGCCCUUUCCAAAUGAGAGUACUCGGUCACACCUGGAGAAGCCAAUAUAGGAAAGUCAAAGGUUGAAAAAUGAAUUAAUCCAGAGAGGUUUGCACAAUGGUUUCAGUCUACAUGUUAAAGCCAGGUUAAGGAUAGGAGGUCAAUAUAUCCAAGCUAGCCUCAGAAGUAUGUACUACAUAGUUGUUGACCAAGGCAAGGAACUUGAAACUUACAAGCUAGUGAAGCUCGGAGCUAACUGCCGCAUGAUCUUUGACAAUUCACACACAUAAACAAUGAAAACUUUAAAAAGAUGAGACACUCUAUGUGAGCAAGUGAAAAUAUGCGUGCCUACAUUACUUAAUAGGAUAAACUUUCUUCUAACAGGUCUCUUGUUAUUUAGACACAUUUUUUAACAAAGAGAAGUCAUACACAAUGGUAAAAAUAAGCAUGUUGACCAAAGCUGAAUUUGGCAGGAAAAUGUGAAUUAUCUACUUAUAUGCUUUUUCCCCAAACAGAAAUGAUGUGUAUCCAGCUGAUUGAUGUGAUAUCUCCCUUUUAUUCUAGGUGCUAUGCUAUAUCCACGUCUCAUCCUAUCAUGAACAUUCCUGAUAUAUUUAUUUUGACACAAACAAUUUUCUAUUAAAGAAAUUGAUUAUUGCUUCUAUAAUGAGACAAUGAUCCGGCUCUGUAACUCUUUAUGAAAUUCCUUCUCCCAAAUUGGCAAUUAAAUCAUUUGCAGACCAAUAAAGCCAGCAUGUCAUGCUGUUGCAAUGCAUUGCAGUUGUUUUUGAGCACUUCUAUGGCACUUAAAAAAUGUGUUAUUGAGAAAAGGAUUUACUGCAGAGCACAUAAAAGACCCAACUUUGGUAUAUCAUCAUCCCAAAUUCAUCUUUCUUUUAUGUUUACCCCAUGUCCAUAGCCAUGCUUAUUAAAAGGACGAGGAGGUGAAAAUUAAAAAGAAAAGAACAGGAGACAGAUUAAACGGAUACACAACCCUCUGCAUCUUAUCCUCCAAGGAUACGGUGUCUAAACAGGGAUAGAUAUUAAUUUAAUGAACAAUUGCCUGAUGAUCAGCUAAACAAUGUAAAACCUUUCAGUGGUGCACUGAGUGCAUCUGUUAUCAGAAGAGGACAUAUCUAACUGGAAGCAAUUAAUAUCAAUGAAUUACAACCACAAAGAUAUUCUUAGUAAAAGUAGAACCAAAGCAAUUAGAUAGAUAGAACUUUAAGUGCAUACCAUGCGGGAGUACGUCUUCCUUUUGGAUCAUCGCCAAUGUACUUUUCUGAAUUGAUCUCAUAUUUAUAAGUUGGUGCAAAAGUCAGGAUACCUUCUGACCAUCCAUCAAAUGCACGACCUUUCCUCAGCUCUUUGAUAAGCUGCCAAAAGAUGAAGAUGUAAAUGGUUAAAACAUAUACUGACUGACAAAGUGACACAGGAUUCUAUUGGUGUUGCAACUGACUAUCUUGUGAGUCAACCUACACCAAAAGUUAUGCUAUUGAACUUAUUAACAUUGCUCUUAAAGAUAGUGAUCCAUUCAUCUUUCACAAUUUACUAAUGGAAAUCCCUCCUAACUCUUCUUUCUGUUCAGCCAUACCAAAGUGACGCUGUAGAUUUGUCAGUUUUCACCAAUACCACAGACCUCAAAGCAAUAGACAUUAUUCUUCUUUUCCUUAUAGCACUAGCGAUUACUACAAGAAGUGGACAAUAGAUGGUAAAGUAAAUUACCCUAAUUUCUCAUUAAGACACACAAAGCACCAGCUUUAGUUAAAGUUUAUGUCCCUUCUAUUGAAGAUAUAGUAUCCUAAAUGUCAAUGUUGUUUAAAUCAUAAGUAAGGUAUAAGCAUAAUUCAAAAGGAUAUAUAUAUAUAUAUAUCCAUAUUAAUCACAGGCAAAAUCAUAUUGUUAUGCAAAGGACGGAACAUCCAAUAGUUCACUUAUGUCAUUAUGCAGCAUGAAUUGUACAACUUUACCUGAUCACUCUCUCUUAAAUUGGACCAGUUCUUUUUCAAGAGUAGCUGUCUUGUUGUCUCAUAUGACAAGUUGAUGCGGUAGUUUAGAUCACCCAGCCAUAUGAUUCUCCUGGAAGGAAACAAAAAAUAGUAAUAAGCUGAUUUGUUUUGCGGUAUUAAAAGAAUGAAGAAUUAAAAAGAAGCACAGAAUGGGCAUCAAGUAGAACAUAUUUGAUUGCAUGUGGUAUUAGGUGAUUUUACCGGAAAAAUUGACGUGAAAGCUGCAAAAGACGUGAUAUCCUAGAAAUAUACAUAUUGAGCAGUAAGUAGUCUUUUCUGUUAACACAUCAGUUUCUUUUCACCAGAUUCAUAAAACAGCACAUGCAUUUAAUGUCCAGGUUUUACAACUCAAAAGAAAAUGGAGCCAUUUUAGUGCUCUACAGAAAGGGCAAGAGCAACUGAAUAGUUCUUUAUAGUGCAUGAGCAAAAUAAUAUGCAGCAUCACCAUGCAAAAACCAUCUUGCAACAUACAUUUGUUACUUCAUGUCGUAUUAUAUUUGAAGACAUUAGCUACCCAGUUUCUGCCAUCCAACAGGUGCAUAUGAAGUUAAAUUUCUUUUUCCUUUUUUCUUUCCCCCUGUUACGAACUAAAGUGAAGAUAUAGAGAAUUAACAAGAAGAGAAAAAGUUAAAGAGAAAUUCAAUAUUCUUGGGCCUCAAAACCACAAAGAAGAAUAAUAUAAAGAAGAAACAAAAACACAGAGAGAAAGAAAGAAGUCUAGUAGAUUUCAUGAGAAAGUAAAGUAGUACAACACAAGAAAAAGUUAGAAAAAAAUCAUCAAUAAAUGCAUAGCACUUACUCAUGGUCAUAAAUGCUUUUAGGUAGGCCCAUAACUGAAUGUGAAUUAAAAUGCGUCCUGCGAUGUAUUUCGUACACAUCAGCAUUUCUUUUCACAAGAUCUGCCUCUUUCUCACCUGACGUCAGGUGACUACACACGAAACAAAAGAGUGUCUGAUAUACAGACAUGCUAACUGAUAUUGAUCCCUGAAGGAAAAAAGUUUUAAUAGAGUUUAGGAUUUACAUGUGAUUAAUUAAAUGAAGGACAUUAGACAUUGACCAACUAAUUAGAUUAUUCUUAACACUCAUUUGCAUCCAUAAGCACUCAUGUAUCUAUUUCACAUGAGGAUGAAACAUGAUUACAAGAAAACAAAGAAAAAUGAAAAUGUGGAUGAAGAAAGUCGGUUUGGUUCACUUCAACUACCAAGCCAAAAGUGAUCCAACAUGGUGUUGUUAUGCCAUUUGACAAGAUAUUACCAUCAAGGUUAUUACUGAGAUAGUAUGUUACAACCUAUGUAUGAUACUAGCAUUAUCUACUGAAAGGUUUACAUGAACUUGCGAAACCCCUAAAGGAUUUAAACUUGCAUUUUAUUAGCAAUUUAAACCACAAUAUUCAAGAGGUUCAAGUAACAAGCAUGUUGGCCGCACUGAAUUGAAAGUAAAGAAAACCCAAACACUGAUUUUAAGUGGAGAAAAAAUCUAUCCCUGGAAGUCGAUGUUUAUUUUAUAUGACUUAAAUUAAUAACUCAGCCAAGUAGAAGAUGCACAAGGUGCCCAAAUCCCCAUUUCCUAGGUUAAGCUUGCACCCUCACUGAGACUAUAGAAGCCACGCAGCAACUAAUGUAGAAUAAAUAACAUGUAUAAUAUCAAGAAAAUCCAUGCUUCUUCAUUCACACAUAUCAUCGAAACUCCCAUCAAGGGAAACACUUACCUAAUACUGGAAAAGGAAUAAAAGAAACCAGAAUAGGUCAGCUUUUCAAAAUUUCGGCCAGAUAAUUAUCGGAGCAACAAGUUGAACAGAAUAAUUGAUAUCCAAGCUUAUGUUUUCCUCCCAGAAAGUUUAAAUGCUUCUUUCCACACCCAUCCUCCCCCAAAGAUACCUUGGCCUAAGAGUGGAUAUUACUCCUUAGUACAGGUAAAACAAGAUAUAUAAAACUGCAAUACUACUUGAUGGAUGAAACUCUAGUAAGAACACUACAAAAGUAUUAAUCGCUUCCUGUCAAAUAUCAUGAGCUCAAAGUCCUUACUCAAGCCAAUACAAGAAGCCUCGUAUUUUUCUUGACAAAGUCAUUGUUGUAUUAAGCAUACUUUUUGGUCUACAGGGAUGGCUGCAUAGUGUCACUCAUGACCCCUAUACAUUGGAUCAGUCCAACAAGCAUGAAACCAUUGGGCUAGUGGCCCAAUGGCAUAAAGCCUCACACUAAUUUCAUCUAUUCUGGUGCAUUUAAGCCAAAAAAUGAUCCAAAAGUAAAGGGAUGUAGCAAGAAUGUAAUCAUACUCCAGUUGAAAUAGUUUGCAAAUGCCAUGUGAAACUGAAUGCCACUAAUCCAUCUGUACAUGCAGACAGAUAACAUUGCAUGUUUUACUAUGAUCAACACAUUGCUAAAGCAUGACAUGGCAAAUGAGUAGCAACAAAAAUAGAGAUCAUCAUACAAUAUUCUAAAAUUAUCACAAGGGGAAUGAUAAGAGAAUGUGGUAGUGAAUGCAGAAGAAUUAUUGAAAGUAAGUCAACAUUUGACCAGAAGCAGACCUUGUUACCUAUGUAUCCCAUUGCACCCACACCAACAGUCGACACACUUAUGUUAUGUAUAUGCUUUCGCAAGUUUCUCCGGACCCAUAUGCUAAAGAAAACUCCAACCAUUUGUUUGCUUACUAUCCUCACAAAUGCUGGCCUUCUUUUUCUUUUUAUUAAGAAUUCAAGGUCAAGUUCCGCAAGCAAAGCUGCAUCUGAUUGUUUUCUAUUUUGAAUAUUCAUACCAGACUUCAAAGAACUAUAUUUUCUGUAGGAUUUUGAAGCUUUGAAUGACUUCAUUGAUUUGAAAGAAUUAGGUCUCUCCAAAAGAUGCUGAGACAGAAGAUCAAGAGGUGCCUCUGGCCAGCAAAAACCUAUUUUUUCUGUUCCACUCAGGGUUCUGAGUAAUUUACGGUCGAACUGCUUAUUUGGCUCUUCAGUUUCUUCACUAUCUUCUGUUCUAAAGCAUUUCAACCUAUCCAGCUUUUUUGGAGAAGAAAACUGUGUCUCCAAAUCUUGGUCAAUGGCUGAGAAAUCAUUCUUAUGGCUGUAGAAAGAAACAUCUGCAUUCAUAGCUUCAUUUUCUUCAUUGACUGGUCCAACCAUGUGUCCAUCAAAACCACUGGUUUCAUCAUUUACGGGAUAGAUUUCCUCCUCUCCAUCACUGUCAGAUUCAAGAAUGAUUU